GAUGAAGAACGUAGCGAAAUGCGAUAAGUAAUGUGAAUUGCAGAAUUCAGUGAAUCAUCGAAUCUUUGAACGCACAUUGCGCCCGCCAGUAUUCUGGCGGGCAUGCCUGUACGAGCGUCAUUUCAACCAUCAAGCCCCCGGCAUGUGUUGGGGACCUGCGGCUGCCGCAGGCCCUGAAAUGCAGUGGCGGGCUCGCUGUCACUCCGAGCGUAGUAGUUACAUCUCGCUCUGGGCGUGCUGCGGGUUCCGGCCGUUAAAAGCCUUAUUUACCCAAGGUUGACCUCGGAUCAGGUAGGAAGACCCGCUGAACUUAAGCAUAUCAAUAAGCGGAGGA
Molecule: unclassified non-coding RNA, 334 nt
Filed under: soil metagenome
Description: partial contains 5.8S ribosomal RNA, internal transcribed spacer 2, and large subunit ribosomal RNA
Rfam family: 5.8S ribosomal RNA (bases 1-120)
Source: RNAcentral